UGAGGAAUAUUGGGCAAUGCCCGAAAGGGUGACCCAGCAACGCCGCGUGGAGGAUGAAGGUCGUAAGAUUGUAAACUCCUGUUAGAGGGGAAGAAUAACUAAGUUUGGAGCUUAGUAUGACUGUACCCUCAGAGAAAGCCCCGGCUAACUACGUGCCAGCAGCCGCGGUAAUACGUAGGGGGCAAGCGUUGUCCGGAUUUACUGGGUGUAAAGGGCGCGCAGGCGGAAUGGAAAGUCAGUGGUGAAAUCCUACAGCUUAACUGUAGAACUGCCUUUGNUACUUUCAUUCUUGAGUUCGGGAGAGAGAGACGGAAUUCCAGGUGUAGUGGUGAAAUACGUAGAUAUCUGGAAGAACACCAGUUGCGAAGGCGGUCUCUUGGUCCGAUACUGACGCUGAGGGGCGAAAGCGUGGUGAGCAAACA
RNAcentral lists this ribosomal RNA (422 nucleotides) under uncultured bacterium. RNAcentral's name for it is "bacterial SSU rRNA". It matches the Rfam family "Bacterial small subunit ribosomal RNA", at positions 355 to 774 of the family's 1533-position model. The record is from RNAcentral.